This 465-nucleotide ribosomal RNA is filed under the name Vreelandella stevensii. RNAcentral describes it as "partial 16S ribosomal RNA". It matches the Rfam family "Bacterial small subunit ribosomal RNA", at positions 338 to 795 of the family's 1533-position model. The record is from RNAcentral. Lineage: Bacteria; Pseudomonadati; Pseudomonadota; Gammaproteobacteria; Oceanospirillales; Halomonadaceae.
CCUACGGGAGGCUGCAGUGGGGAAUAUUGGACAAUGGGGGCAACCCUGAUCCAGCCAUGCCGCGUGUGUGAAGAAGGCCCUCGGGUUGUAAAGCACUUUCAGUGAGGAAGAACGCCUGGUGGUUAAUACCCAUCAGGAAAGACAUCACUCACAGAAGAAGCACCGGCUAACUCCGUGCCAGCAGCCGCGGUAAUACGGAGGGUGCGAGCGUUAAUCGGAAUUACUGGGCGUAAAGCGCGCGUAGGUGGCUUGAUAAGCCGGUUGUGAAAGCCCCGGGCUCAACCUGGGAACGGCAUCCGGAACUGUCAAGCUAGAGUGCAGGGGAGGAAGGUAGAAUUCCCGGUGUAGCGGUGAAAUGCGUAGAGAUCGGGAGGAAUACCAGUGGCGAAGGCGGCCUUCUGGACUGACACUGACACUGAGGUGCGAAAGCGUGGGUAGCAAACAGGAUUAGAUACCCCUGUAGUC